This 253-nucleotide ribosomal RNA is filed under the name uncultured bacterium. RNAcentral describes it as "partial 16S ribosomal RNA". It matches the Rfam family "Bacterial small subunit ribosomal RNA", at positions 524 to 776 of the family's 1533-position model. The record is from RNAcentral.
UACGUAGGGUGCGAGCGUUAAUCGGAAUUACUGGGCGUAAAGCGUGCGCAGGCGGUCGUGUAAGACAGAUGUGAAAUCCCCGGGCUCAACCUGGGAAUUGCAUUUGUGACUGCCCGACUAGAGUGUGUCAGAGGGGGGUAGAAUUCCACGUGUAGCAGUGAAAUGCGUAGAGAUGUGGAGGAAUACCGAUGGCGAAGGCAGCCCCCUGGGAUAACACUGACGCUCAUGCACGAAAGCGUGGGGAGCAAACAGG